RNAcentral lists this ribosomal RNA (323 nucleotides) under uncultured Pseudomonadota bacterium. RNAcentral describes it as "bacterial SSU rRNA". It matches the Rfam family "Bacterial small subunit ribosomal RNA", at positions 29 to 351 of the family's 1533-position model. The record is from RNAcentral. Lineage: Bacteria; Pseudomonadati; Pseudomonadota.
AUUGAACGCUGGCGGAAUGCUUUACACAUGCAAGUCGAACGGCAGCACGGGGGCAACCCUGGUGGCGAGUGGCGAACGGGUGAGUAACACAUCGGAACGCGUCCUGUAAUGGGGGAUAACCUGGCGAAAGCCAGGCUAAUACCGCAUACGUCCUGAGGGAGAAAGCGGGGGAUUGGCAACGACCUCGCGUUAUAGGAGUGGCCGAUGUCGGAUUAGCUAGUUGGUGGGGUAAAGGCCUACCAAGGCGACGAUCCGUAGCUGGUCUGAGAGGACGACCAGCCACACUGGGACUGAGACACGGCCCAGACUCCUACGGGAGGCAG